RNAcentral lists this unclassified non-coding RNA (1011 nucleotides) under Penicillium citrinum. Its description in RNAcentral is "sequence contains ITS1 and 5.8S rRNA gene". The stretch from base 181 to 333 matches the Rfam family "5.8S ribosomal RNA". The record is from RNAcentral. Lineage: Eukaryota; Fungi; Ascomycota; Eurotiomycetes; Eurotiales; Aspergillaceae.
GGAGUACGAAAUGAUAGUCGUCUGGGUCCACCUCCCCCCGUGUUUAUUUUACCUUGUUGCUUCGGCGGGCCCGCCUUAACUGGCCGCCGGGGGGCUUACGCCCCCGGGCCCGCGCCCGCCAAAUACACCCUCGAACUCUGUCUGAAGAUUGUAGUCUGAGUGAAAAUAUAUAUUAUUUAUAACUUUCAACAACUGAUCUCUUGGUUCCGGCAUCUAUGAAUAUCGCAACGAAAUGCGAUAUGUAAUGUGAAUUGCCCAUUCAAUGAAUCAUCGAUUCAUUGAUCGCACAUUGCGCCUCCUGGUAUUUCGGGGGGCAUGUCUGUCCGAGCGUCAUUUCUGCCAUCAAGCACGGCUUGUGUGUUGGGCCCCGUCCUCCGAUCCCGGGGGACGGGCCCGAAAGGCAGCGGCGGCACCGCGUCCGGUCCUCGAGCGUAUGGGGCUUUGUCACCCGCUCUGUAGGCCCGGCCGGCGCUUGCCGAUCAACCCAAAUUUUUAUCCAGGUUGACCUCGGAUCAGGUAGGGAUACCCGCUGAACUUAAGCAUAUCAAUAAGCGGAGGAAAUUACCGAGUGAGGGCCCUCUGGGUCCACCUUCCACCGUGUUUAUUUUACCUUGUUGCUUCGGCGGGCCGCUUAACUGGCCGCCGGGGGCUUACGCCCCGGGCCGCGCCCCGAAGACCCUCAAACCUGUCUGAAAAUUGUAGUCUGAGUGAAAAUAUAAAUUAUUUAAAACUUUCAACAACGGAUCUCUUGGUUCCGCCUCCAUAAAAAAGCCCCAAAUGCAUUCCUAAUGUGGAUUGCAAAUCAUGGAUCCCCAAUCUUUUAGCAAUGCCCGGUAUUCCGGAGGGAAGCCGCCCAGCAUAUUUCCCCCGCGGGGGGGGGGGGCCCCCCCCCCCGGGGAGGGCCAAAAAAAGGGCCCCCUCCCUCUCCCCCAUAGGGGUUUUUUCCCCUCUUAACCCGCGGGUUGUGCUACCCCAAUUUUUUUCUUUUACCCAAUAAAGGGGGAAGCCCCC